UAUUAAUUUAAUUUCACCAACUUGAACAUACACAAUAGUUCACCUAUGUUCCUUCAGCUCUCGUGUCCUCAUCUACUUAUAUUUCUUUCGAUCAUUGUUUGUUCAGACAAUCAGCCUGUAACGACACUGGUCGUGUUUUUUGGCUGCAGCUCACGAUGACAGGUAAUAUUAAUGUUGAUGCCGACACAGUCAGUCUGGCCGUCAAACACUGAAACGACGCUGCCCGGCCGUCAGAAACUCAACACCACCAGCUGCUGGAAGAAAACCUCUGGUUUGUAUUUCAAUCCAUUUACAACAAACCAGCAUCUGCUGCAGUUUUUUCCAUCGUCUCGAGGGAAACGAGAGUCAUCAGAACUGGAACUGGACUCCUUCGUCCUCCACUGGUCCAGAUUUAAAACCGUGUGGUGACUCCGGCGCUGGUCCAACACACAGAUGUUGUUCAGGUGAAGUUUCAGUUAAGCAUCAAACAAACGCUUUAUUCUGAUUCCUCAGGUUUUAUGAAAAGUUUUUCAGUUUUGGAUCAAGUCCUGUACUGACAGAGGCCGUGUCUGUGACUGUUAGCAUUAGUAUUAGCAGAUGAUGUCAGUUGCUGAAAUGAACAUCAGCCUGUUCCAGUCACAGCCGAACGCCAAAAACAAAAAGUUUCUCUGAUGUUUCUGUUCUUUGUGCAAAUACAAAUCGCAUGAAUUUAAUUAAAUUAAAUUUAGGGGCUUUUCUUUUUUGAGGGAGCUGAAUCCAGUGGUUUUGUGUUUCGACCGACUCUGCAUAACUUUGGGCUCUGGCCCAUCAGAGGAACAAAGGUUUACGUCACUGCUGUUGAGACUGAAGAUGUCUCUUAGUCCAGCUGCAGUAAAUUUGAAGUCAAGCUGCUUCUCCACGUCUGACAGGAACUGAGAGAAACACUCAACUCUUCAUGGACAUGCAGUUUGAAGACUGGAGAUCAGAGGACAGAGCUACCGUGACCUACAGUGACCUGUGGUGAUCUACGGUGACCUGCAGUGACCUGCGGUGACUUACAGUGACCUGCGGUGAUCUACGGUGACCUGCAGUGACUUACAGUGAUCUACGGUGACCUGCAGUGACUUACAGUGACCUGCGGUGAUCUACAGUGACCUGCAGUGACCUGCGGUGACUUACAGUGACCCGCGGUGAUCUACGGUGACCUGCAGUGACUUACAGUGACCUGCGGUGACCUGCGGUGAUCUACAGUGACCUGCAGUGACUUACAGUGACCUGCGGUGAUCUACGGUGACCUGCAGUGACUUACAGUGACCUGCGGUGACUAACAGUGACCUGCGGUGACUAACAGUGACCUGCGGUGACCUGCGGUGAUCUACGUUGACUUACAGUGACCUGCGGUGACUAACAGGCGACUUGCGGUGACUUACAGUGAUAUACGGUGACAUGCGGUGACCCGCAGUGAUCUACGGUGACCUGCAGUGACCUGCGGUGACUUACAGUGACCUUCGGUGACCUGCGGUGAUCUACGGUGAAUGGCAGUGACCUGCAAGACCUGCGGUGAUGUCUGUACUUUAUGAUGUUGUACUUCUGUGUUGUUGUUGGUCUGAGCUCGACUGACUGACGUUGCUUUCUGUCUAGUUCAGUCUCAGAGUUUCCAGCUGUGCAGGUGGAGGAGACCAAACACAGAGAGUUUGAUCAUCACAUCUCUACGACGUGUCGCUGUCGGACGCAGAAACAACAACAACACCUGGGUUUUGUUUAUGCAGCACAGGAGUUUUAUAAAUUAGACGUGUCUCAUGAUCCCGGGAGGGAGGAACGUUUUGGCAUGAUACAUAAAUAUACAUCUGAUAUAUGGUUAACCUCGUUCUCUCCUCACUCGUCCUCUUUUCUCUCUCUCUGAUGAACACUUGUUGUCUGCAGCUGUCGGCUCAUCGUGGAUUUACCACCUGACUCAGCCUCUGCUCCUCAGGCUCCGCCUCUUCCUCCUC
Molecule: long non-coding RNA, 1949 nt
Organism: Scophthalmus maximus (turbot)
Lineage: Eukaryota; Metazoa; Chordata; Actinopteri; Pleuronectiformes; Scophthalmidae
Exons: 3
Source: RefSeq, a predicted model, not a curated record